AACGAACGCUGGCGGCAGGCUUAACACAUGCAAGUCGAGCGAAUGGAUUAAGAGCUUGCUCUUAUGAAGUUAGCGGCGGACGGGUGAGUAACACGUGGGUAACCUGCCCAUAAGACUGGGAUAACUCCGGGAAACCGGGGCUAAUACCGGAUAACAUUUUGAACCGCAUGGUUCGAAAUUGAAAGGCGGCUUCGGCUGUCACUUAUGGAUGGACCCGCGUCGCAUUAGCUAGUUGGUGAGGUAACGGCUCACCAAGGCAACGAUGCGUAGCCGACCGGAGAGGGUGAUCGGCAACACUGGGACUGAGACACGGCCCAGACUCCUACGGGAGGCAGCAGUAGGGAAUCUUCCGCAAUGGACGAAAGUCUGACGGAGCAACGCCGCGUGAGUGAUGAAGGCUUUCGGGUCGUAAAACUCUGUUGUUAGGGAAGAACAAGUGCUAGUUGAAUAAGCUGGCACCUUGACGGUACCUAACCAGAAAGCCACGGCUAACUACGUGCCAGCAGCCGCCGUAA
Molecule: ribosomal RNA, 515 nt
Filed under: uncultured bacterium
Lineage: Bacteria
Description: partial 16S ribosomal RNA
Rfam family: Bacterial small subunit ribosomal RNA
Source: RNAcentral